This is a non-coding RNA of Arthromyces matolae, 92 nucleotides long. The record is from the annotation of a GenBank genome assembly. Lineage: Eukaryota; Fungi; Basidiomycota; Agaricomycetes; Agaricales; Lyophyllaceae.
GUCGUCAUAGCCAAGUGGUUACGGCGACAGAUUUGAAUAUUUCAAAUAUCUGUUCCUCUUUGAGGGCGUAGGUUCAAAUCCUGCUGGCGACG